AUUGAACGCUGGCGGCAGGCUUAACACAUGCAAGUCGAGCGGAGCGAGGGUGCUUGCACCUUAGCUUAGCGGCGGACGGGUGAGUAAUGCUUAGGAAUCUGCCUAUUAGUGGCGGACAACAUCUAGAAAGGUAUGCUAAUACCGCAUACGUCCUAACGGAAAAAGCAGGGGAUCACUAUUGACCUUGCGCUAAUAGAUGAGCCUAAGGCGGAUUAGCUAGUUGGUGGGGUGAAGGCCUACCAAGCAGACGAUCUGUGGCGGGUCUGAGAGGAUGAUCCGCCACACUGGGGCUGAGACACGGCCCAGACACCGACGGGAGGCAGCAGUGGGGAAUAUUGGACAAUGGGAGGAACCCUGAUCCAGCCAUGCCGCGUGUGUGAAGAAGGCCUUAUGGUUGUAAAGCACUUUAAGCGAGGAGGAGGCUCUUUUGGUUAAUACCCAAGAUGAGUGGACGUUACUCGCAGAAUAAGCACCGGCUAACUCUGUGCCAGCCGCCGCCGUAA
This 503-nucleotide ribosomal RNA is filed under the name uncultured bacterium. RNAcentral's name for it is "partial 16S ribosomal RNA". It matches the Rfam family "Bacterial small subunit ribosomal RNA", at positions 30 to 523 of the family's 1533-position model. The record is from RNAcentral.